RNAcentral lists this ribosomal RNA (301 nucleotides) under uncultured bacterium. Its description in RNAcentral is "partial 16S ribosomal RNA". It matches the Rfam family "Bacterial small subunit ribosomal RNA", at positions 509 to 807 of the family's 1533-position model. The record is from RNAcentral.
CAGCCGCCGCGGUAAUACGUAGGUGGCAAGCGUUGUCCGGAAUUAUUGGGCGUAAAGGGCUCGCAGGCGGUUUCUUAAGUCUGAUGUGAAAGCCCCCGGCUCAACCGGGGAGGGUCAUUGGAAACUGGGAAACUUGAGUGCAGAAGAGGAGAGUGGAAUUCCACGUGUAGCGGUGAAAUGCGUAGAGAUGUGGAGGAACACCAGUGGCGAAGGCGACUCUCCGGUCUGUAACUGACGCUGAGGAGCGAAAGCGUGGGGAGCCAACAGGAUUAGAUACCCCUGUAGUCCCUGUCUCUUAUAC